Molecule: non-coding RNA, 291 nt
Organism: Mus musculus (house mouse)
Lineage: Eukaryota; Metazoa; Chordata; Mammalia; Rodentia; Muridae
Source: the annotation of a RefSeq genome assembly
CACUCCAUUGUUUAGCUGCAGCAGUCUGAAGCUGCGCUGAGGACUCUUGGAGCUUCAGAAUAGGUGCCCUUCAAAUGCUGUGAUAUGGGUAGCUUUCCCUUUUCCUUUAGGAAUUGCAUGACAUAGAACCCUGAAUGUAAUGGAAACAUAGACCCAAGCAUGAGAAAUACACUCUAUGGACAGAAUUAACAAGGCAGAGUCACAAUGGAUGCAGACAAAAUGUCCAAAACUGCCUACAUGUAGGUCAAUAAUCUGACAGCUGAGGACUCUUCUAUCACUGCAGAAGGAAGA